CCUCCCCAGACUGAUCUCAGCCUCUCCAGAUUUAACGUAGGGUUGCAAGGGCCUGGUGCCUGCUGCCCCUUUGAGGCUGAAGAAGCCUACUGGACAUCAUUCAGAGUGGCCCAGGGCAUCUGCUCUUCUUCAGGUGCCUCAGUACAUGAAAGCAAAGCACUGGAAUUAAGGCAAACACACUGAUCUAUCAUUGUUCCAGCUAGGAGGAGAAAAUCUUCCCAAUGAAAGUCUGUCCUUAAUUAGGAAGCAUUUGUCCAGAACGUGCUUGUGCACCACAGAACAACAGAUGUGUAUCAUUGAUGCAUGUGAAGUUAUGAGAUUGUGCUGUAUGGUGGUCAUAAAACAGGCUGUACAUUGGGGAAUCAGCCAGAUAUUAGCUCCCCAGAGACAACAGCAAGGGAAGUAACCAGCGCCUGGGUGCAGUGUCAAACAACCAUCAACAGCCAUUGUCCAGCAAGGGAGCUCCAAUGCUUGACUCACCUGCAUGAGGCCACCCCAGGGGAACUGCUCAACCUCACCUGGGAACUCAGCAAUGCCCCAGACAGGCCUGGACUUGUGCUCCCCAAGCACAUGGACUGAGGGUCUAAAACAGACACUGUGGACACAUACUGAGCCCUUCUCCUGCCCCCACCUUCGCUGCAAGCAACUAAGACACUGAGAAGAAGACACGACUCCAGCAGAGGAGA
Long non-coding RNA from Mauremys mutica (yellowpond turtle), 686 nucleotides. RefSeq lists it as uncharacterized. The transcript is spliced from 3 exons. Lineage: Eukaryota; Metazoa; Chordata; Testudines; Geoemydidae. The record is from RefSeq and is a predicted model, not a curated record.